ACUCUGAUCCAGCCAUGCCGCGUGCAGGAAGACUGCCCUAUGGGUUGUAAACUGCUUUUAUAGAGGAAGAAACCUCCCUACGUGUAGGGAGCUGACGGUACUCUACGAAUAAGGAUCGGCUAACUCCGUGCCAGCAGCCGCGGUAAUACGGAGGAUCCAAGCGUUAUCCGGAAUCAUUGGGUUUAAAGGGUCCGUAGGCGGGCAGUUAAGUCAGUGGUGAAAGUCUUCCGCUCAACGGGAGAAUUGCCAUUGAUACUGAUUGUCUUGAGUCAUUAUGAAGUGGUUAGAAUGAGUAGUGUAGCGGUGAAAUGCAUAGAUAUUACUCAGAAUACCGAUUGCGAAGGCAGAUCACUAAUAAUGUACUGACGCUGAUGGACGAAAGCGUAGGUAGCGAACAGGAUUAGAUACCCUGGUAGUCUACGCCGUAAACGAUGGUUACUAGCUGUUUGGACGAUUGAGUCUGAGUGGCUAAGCGAAAGUGAUAAGUAACCCACCUGGGGAGUACGUUCGCAAGAAUGAAACUCAAAUG
Molecule: ribosomal RNA, 529 nt
Filed under: Mesonia sp.
Lineage: Bacteria; Pseudomonadati; Bacteroidota; Flavobacteriia; Flavobacteriales; Flavobacteriaceae
Description: bacterial SSU rRNA
Rfam family: Bacterial small subunit ribosomal RNA
Source: RNAcentral